Molecule: ribosomal RNA, 439 nt
Filed under: uncultured soil bacterium
Lineage: Bacteria
Description: bacterial SSU rRNA
Rfam family: Bacterial small subunit ribosomal RNA
Source: RNAcentral
AGAACGAACGCUGGCGGCAUGCCUAACACAUGCAAGUCGAACGAGACCUUCGGGUCUAGUGGCGCACGGGUGCGUAACGCGUGGGAAUCUACCCUUGGGUUCGGAAUAACAGUUGGAAACGACUGCUAAUACCGGAUGAUGACGUAAGUCCAAAGAUUUAUCGCCCAGGGAUGAGCCCGCGUAGGAUUAGCUAGUUGGUGAGGUAAAGGCUCACCAAGGCGACGAUCCUUAGCUGGUCUGAGAGGAUGAUCAGCCACACCGGGACUGAGACACGGCCCAGACUCCUACGGGAGGCAGCAGUGGGAAUAUUGGACAAUGGGCGAAAGCCUGAUCCAGCAAUGCCGCGUGAGUGAUGAAGGCUUAGGUGUAAAGCUCGUUUACCCGGGAAGAUAAUGACUGUACCGGAGAAUAAGCUCCGCUAACUCGUGCCAGCAGCCGC